Apaloderma vittatum (bar-tailed trogon) is the source of this 75-nucleotide non-coding RNA. The record is from the annotation of a RefSeq genome assembly. Lineage: Eukaryota; Metazoa; Chordata; Aves; Trogoniformes; Trogonidae.
GGGCCGGUUAGCUCAGUCGGUUAGAGCAUGGUGCUGAUAACACCAAGGUCACGGGUUCAAUCCCCGUUUGGUCCC